UACGAAGGGGGCUAGCGUUGCUCGGAAUUACUGGGCGUAAAGCGCACGUAGGCGGCUUUCUAAGUCGGGGGUGAAAUCCUGGAGCUCAACUCCAGAACUGCCUUCGAUACUGGCGUGCUCGAGUCCGGGAGAGGGUGAGUGGAACUGCGAGUGUAGAGGUGAAAUUCGUAGAUAUUCGCCAAGAACACCAGUGGCGAAGGCGGCUCACUGGCCCGGUACUGACGCUGAGGUGCGAAAGCGUGGGGAGCAAACAGG
This 255-nucleotide ribosomal RNA is filed under the name uncultured bacterium. RNAcentral describes it as "partial 16S ribosomal RNA". It matches the Rfam family "Bacterial small subunit ribosomal RNA", at positions 524 to 776 of the family's 1533-position model. The record is from RNAcentral.